RNAcentral lists this unclassified non-coding RNA (372 nucleotides) under Hevea brasiliensis (rubber tree). Lineage: Eukaryota; Viridiplantae; Streptophyta; Magnoliopsida; Malpighiales; Euphorbiaceae. The record is from RNAcentral.
UGUUCCAGAUGAUAAGAAAUCCACAGCUAAGAAAAAGAAUCUCUAAUUGAUUGUGGAGAUUCAAGUAACUAGAUUCUUUACUUCUAGGUUUUUAGAAUACAUAUAAUUUUUUCUUUACUUCUAGGUUUUUAGAAUACAUAUAAUUUUUAUGUAUUGAUUAAAAAAUAAUAUAUUUAGUGGUAGUUGUAGGCAUUUCCACUUAAGAUUCUUCUGAGAAAUUUACCUGAGAUGUAUUCAUAUGUAAUUCAAUUAUCAGCUGCUGAUAGAGCUGCUUAGUGGUUUAUCAUAUGUGCAAUAGUGGUUUAUUUAUUUAUUUUUACUUUUUUAAAUCCCCUUUUGGAUGGAUAUGUAAAUGUGGUGAUUGAGAUUCAG